GCAGGCUCGUUGGUGAACAGCGGAGGGAUCAUUACAGAGUUAUCUAACUCCCAAACCCAUGUGAACUUACCUUUGUUGCCUCGGCAGUUUGGGCGAGCCUACCCUGUAGCGAGUUACCCUGUAACGAGUUACCCUGUAGCUGCUUACCCUGUAACGGCUGCCGACGGACUACUAAACUCUUGUUAUUUUUAAGUAAUCUGAGCGUCUUAUUUUAAUAAGUCAAAACUUUCAACAACGGAUCUCUUGGUUCUGGCAUCGAUGAAGAACGCAGCGAAAUGCGAUAAGUAAUGUGAAUUGCAGAAUUCAGUGAAUCAUCGAAUCUUUGAACGCACAUUGCGCCCAUUAGUAUUCUAGUGGGCAUGCCUGUUCGAGCGCAUUUCAACCCUUAAGCCUAGCUUAGUAUUGGGAGCUGACUUUACUGUCACUCCUCAAAUUCAACGGCGGAUUUAUAGCAAUCUCUGAACGUAGUAAUCUUUAUCUCGUUUUUGAAAUACUAUAAACCUCAGCCGCUAAACCCCCAAUUUUUAAUGGUUGACCUCGGAUCAGGUAGGAAUACCCGCUGAACUUAAGCAUAUCAAUAAGCGGAGGAA
Molecule: ribosomal RNA, 590 nt
Filed under: Amphisphaeriaceae sp.
Lineage: Eukaryota; Fungi; Ascomycota; Sordariomycetes; Amphisphaeriales; Amphisphaeriaceae
Description: partial 18S ribosomal RNA
Rfam family: 5.8S ribosomal RNA (bases 224-377)
Source: RNAcentral